AUCAUUUUUCGUGCAUCUUUAGAUAAGAAACUCUGUUCUUAUCAGCUUAAUAUCUGAUAUGUUAGGCAAUGCCUAACUCAUAUAUUAAACUGAUUUUUUGGACUUCGGCCAUGGGAUUGAAGCUUGCUUCGCCCUGGCCACGGGUUGUCUCGGUAUUGCACUACAUCCGAGUAUGGCCCCUUCCCC
Molecule: small nuclear RNA, 186 nt
Filed under: Paramuricea clavata
Lineage: Eukaryota; Metazoa; Cnidaria; Anthozoa; Malacalcyonacea; Plexauridae
Description: U2 spliceosomal RNA
Rfam family: U2 spliceosomal RNA
About the family: U2 is a small nuclear RNA (snRNA) component of the spliceosome (involved in pre-mRNA splicing). Complementary binding between U2 snRNA (in an area lying towards the 5' end but 3' to hairpin I) and the branchpoint sequence (BPS) of the intron results the bulging out of an unpaired adenosine, on the BPS, which initiates a nucleophilic attack at the intronic 5' splice site, thus starting the first of two transesterification reactions that mediate splicing.
Source: Rfam by way of RNAcentral